UACGUAGGGGGCGAGCGUUGUCCGAAGUUACUGGGCGUAAAGCGCGCGUAGGCGGGUCUUUAAGUGAGGGGGGAAAGGUUCAGGGCUCAACCCGGACACUGCCUUUCAUACUGGGGACCUUGAGUGCGGGAGGGGCGAGUGGAAUGGUCGGUGUAGCGGUGAAAUGCGUAGAUAUCGAUCGGAACACCCAUGGCGAAGGCAGCUCGCUGGCCUGCAACUGACGCUGAGGCGCGAAAGCGUGGGGAGCAAACAGG
This 254-nucleotide ribosomal RNA is filed under the name uncultured bacterium. RNAcentral's name for it is "partial 16S ribosomal RNA". It matches the Rfam family "Bacterial small subunit ribosomal RNA", at positions 524 to 776 of the family's 1533-position model. The record is from RNAcentral.